This 468-nucleotide ribosomal RNA is filed under the name uncultured bacterium. RNAcentral describes it as "partial 16S ribosomal RNA". It matches the Rfam family "Bacterial small subunit ribosomal RNA", at positions 28 to 507 of the family's 1533-position model. The record is from RNAcentral.
GACGAACGCUGGCGGCGUGCUUAACACAUGCAAGUCGAACGGAACGGCCCUGCUUUUGUGGGGUGCUCGAGUGGCGAACGGGUGAGUUACACGUGAGUAACCUGUCCUUGACUUUGGGGUAACUUAAGGAAACUGGGGCUCAUACCGGCUAGGAGCUCCCGCCGCAUGGUGGGGGUUGGACAGUUUAGGUGGUUGGGGAUGGACACGCGGCUUAUGAGCUUGUUGGUGGGGUAGUGGCUUACCAAGGCUUUGACGGGUAGCCGACCUGCGAGGGUGACCGGCCACAUUGGGACUGAGAUACGGCCCAGACUCCAACGGGAGGCAACGGUGGGGAGUAUUACACAAUGGGCGGAAGCCUGAUGCGGCAACGCCGCGUGCGGGAUGACGGCCUGCGGGUAGUAAACCGCUGUCGCCUGAGACGAAGCGUUAGUGACGGUAAUGGGUAAAGAAGCACCGGCUAACUACGUG